Molecule: ribosomal RNA, 420 nt
Filed under: Triticum aestivum (bread wheat)
Lineage: Eukaryota; Viridiplantae; Streptophyta; Magnoliopsida; Poales; Poaceae
Description: partial small subunit ribosomal RNA
Source: RNAcentral
AUGCGGGCAGCUCUCGGGUUGGAUGGCGUGAUUGAUCAUCCAUGCGGUAUUGACCUUGCUAGAGAAGCAGUGUUGGAAUUCUUGCUUAAACAGGAGAAGCUCCACUCACCAGUUCUUGGUCUCAGAAAACUUGAUCUAGUUGUUGCUGUUGGGUCAUGGGAUUUAUGGUGGAAGCGUAGGAAACUGGUACAUGGGGAGGCCACUCAGAUGCCGGCUCAGAUAGCUAUGGUGGUCAGAUCAUUGGUUGCACAUUAUGCAGCGGCCUACUCACCGAAAGCAGCUGUUAAACAGGGUGUCUGGACACCUACUCCGAGAAAUUUCGUUAAACCAAAUGUGGAUGCGGCAUUUGACGCUGAUACACCACAAGGAGCUGUUGGCGGCUUGGCGCUGUUGUUCGUGAUGGCUCGGGGAAAUUUAUAG